CCUACGGGUGGCAGCAGUGAGGAAUAUUGGUCAAUGGGCUUACGCCUGAACCAGCCAAGUCGCGUGAGGGAUGACUGCCCUAUGGGUUGUAAACCUCUUUUGUCAGGGAGCAAUUGGCGCUACGUGUAGCGUUAUCGAGAGUACCUGAAGAAAAAGCAUCGGCUAACCCCGUGCCAGCAGCCGCGGUAAUACGGAGGAUGUGAGCGUUAUCCGGAUUUAUUGGGUUUAAAGGGUGCGUAGGGGGGAUGCCAAGUCAGCGGUAAAAAUGCGGUGCUCAACGCCGUCGAGCCGUUGAAACUGGCGUUCUUGAGUGGGCGAGAAGUACGCGGAAUGCGUGGUGUAGCGGUGAAAUGCAUAGAUAUCACGCAGAACUCCGAUUGCGAAGGCAGCAUACCGGCGCCCUACUGACGCUGAGGCACGAAAGCGUGGGUAUCGAACAGGAUUAGAUACCCGGGUAGUC
RNAcentral lists this ribosomal RNA (460 nucleotides) under uncultured bacterium. Its description in RNAcentral is "partial 16S ribosomal RNA". It matches the Rfam family "Bacterial small subunit ribosomal RNA", at positions 338 to 795 of the family's 1533-position model. The record is from RNAcentral.